UGGUCCGUAUUGGUGGAAGUCUCCUCAUAGGUCUUCGGAUCCUCUCUACAUCCUGUCGCCAUCGUAGCAUCUAUCCUCGAUGCACACACCUCUAGGCCCUCUCUUGGUGCCCGCUUAUCGCUGCUCGAGUGUUUGGGAAACUCCACCUCUUUUUGUACCUCUAUGCCUAGAGCUUAUGCCAUGGUCAUGGACAUAAUCAUCACUCAUGAAGGAACAUCUCUCCAGUGCUCCUCCUCUUCCAUGUGUAGAUGCACCUAUCCUUGAUUCUCCACCUUCCUAUGAUCUGACAACCUUGCAAUAGACAACUCCAACUGGUACUGACUGGACCUCUGACUGAUCCUCCAUGGUUGAAGCAAUCACCUCGGCCUCUCCAGACACAAUAGAUCCCUCUACUGGUAUAGCCGACUCCUCAACCUCCUCCCUCUCAUCACAAUUCUGCUGCCCUUGGAGACAUUCAGCACCCUUGAAUUGCUUUUAAAAAUGAAACCCUUUUCCUCCAAGUAUCCAAGUGAUACUAUGCUUCUCUUGAGAUCCAGGACAUGAUGCACAUCUGUCAAGGUCUGCACCCUCCUGUCAAACAUC
RNAcentral lists this long non-coding RNA (582 nucleotides) under Elaeis guineensis (African oil palm). Its description in RNAcentral is "long non-coding RNA (EGUI_LNC038420)". The record is from RNAcentral. Lineage: Eukaryota; Viridiplantae; Streptophyta; Magnoliopsida; Arecales; Arecaceae.